Molecule: ribosomal RNA, 460 nt
Filed under: uncultured bacterium
Lineage: Bacteria
Description: partial 16S ribosomal RNA
Rfam family: Bacterial small subunit ribosomal RNA
Source: RNAcentral
CCUACGGGAGGCAGCAGUGAGGAAUAUUGGUCAAUGGACGAGAGUCUGAACCAGCGAAGUAGCGUGCAGGAUGACUGCCCUAUGGGUUGUAAACUUCGUUUAUAGGGAAAUAAAAUGGUCCACGUGUGGGAUUUUGUAUGUACCAUAUGAAUAAGGAUCGGGUAACUCCGUGCCAGCAGCCGCGGUAAUGCAGUGGAUCCGACCGUUAUCCGGAUUGUUUGGGUUUAAAGGGAUUGUAGGUGGCUUGUUAAGUCAGUUGUGAAUGUUUGCGGCUCAACCGUAAAAUUGCAGUUGAGACUGGCAGUCUUGAGUUAAGUAGAGGUGGGCGGAAUUCGUGGUGUAGCGGUGAAAUGCUUAGAUAUCACGAAGAACACCGAUUGCGAAGGCAGCUCACUGGACUGCUACUGACACUGAGGGUCGAAAGUGUGGGUAUCAAACAGGAUUAGAUACCCCUGUAGUC